GGACUACUAGGGUAUCUAAUCCCGUUUGCUCCCCCCGCUUUCGUCCCUCACUGUCGAAGCUGUUCUGGUAAACUGCCUUCGCCAUAGGUCGUCCCUCGAGGAUUACAAGAUUUCACUCCUACCCCCGAAGUACGGUUUACCUCUCCCAGUUCCAAGACUGCCGGUAUCUCUUAGACGCCUUCACGUUGAGCGUGAAGAUUUCCCAAGAGACCUAACAGUCAAGCUACGGCGGCUGGAAACCCACUUGCCCUGCCCUUUCUUCACAUAUGAUUUAGAUAUAUGAACAGCCUGCAUCGACAGGCACUCAGGGUUUCCUUAUCACGAUUGCUCGCAUUGUAAAGUUUGCGCGCCUGCUGCCCCCCAUAGG
Molecule: ribosomal RNA, 367 nt
Filed under: uncultured Methanocorpusculum sp.
Lineage: Archaea; Methanobacteriati; Methanobacteriota; Methanomicrobia; Methanomicrobiales; Methanocorpusculaceae
Description: partial 16S ribosomal RNA
Source: RNAcentral